This 497-nucleotide ribosomal RNA is filed under the name uncultured bacterium. Its description in RNAcentral is "partial 16S ribosomal RNA". It matches the Rfam family "Bacterial small subunit ribosomal RNA", at positions 28 to 507 of the family's 1533-position model. The record is from RNAcentral.
GAUGAACGCUGGCGGCGUGCCUAAUACAUGCAAGUCGAGCGAACAGACGAGGAGCUUGCUCCUCUGACGUUAGCGGCGGACGGUUGAUUACACCUGGGUUAACCUCCCUUUAAGAUUGGGUAACCUCCGGAAACCCGGGGCUAUUCCGGGUUAUUAUAUUUAACCCCAUGUUUCAUUGUUAAAGAACGUUUUUGCUUUACCUUAAGAAUGAAUCCGCGCCGCAUUAGCUAGUUGGUAAGGUAACGGCUUACCAAGGCAACGAUGCGUAGCCGACCUGAGAGGGUGAUCGGCCACACUGGAACUGAGACACGGUCCAGACUCCUACGGGAGGCAGCAGUAGGGAAUCUUCCGCAAUGGGCGAAAGCUUGACGGAGCAACGCCGCGUGAGUGAUGAAGGUCUUCGGAUCGUAAAACUCUGUUAUUAGGGAAGAACAAAUGUGUAAGUAACUAUGCACGUCUUGACGGUACCUAAUCAGAAAGCCACGGCUAACUACGUG